This 348-nucleotide unclassified non-coding RNA is filed under the name soil metagenome. RNAcentral's name for it is "partial contains 5.8S ribosomal RNA, internal transcribed spacer 2, and large subunit ribosomal RNA". The stretch from base 1 to 120 matches the Rfam family "5.8S ribosomal RNA", at positions 35 to 154 of the family's 154-position model. The record is from RNAcentral.
GAUGAAGAACGUAGCAAAAUGCGAUAAGUAAUGUGAAUUGCAGAAUUCAGUGAAUCAUCGAAUCUUUGAACGCACAUUGCGCCCGCUGGUAUUCCGGCGGGCGUGCCUGUUCGAGCGUCAUUUCAACCCUCAAGCCCCCGGGUUUGGUGUUGGGGAUCGGCUCUGCCCUUCUGGGCGGUGCCGCCCCCGAAAUACAUUGGCGGUCUCGCUGCAGCCUCCAUUGCGUAGUAGCUAACACCUCGCAACUGGAACGCGGCGCGGCCAUGCCGUAAAACCCCAACUUCUGAAUGUUGACCUCGGAUCAGGUAGGAAUACCCGCUGAACUUAAGCAUAUCAAUAAGCGGAGGA